GCAGUUGUGGUGAGCCCCAUCACAAUCGCACUGGCUGGCUUCGUUCAUUUCACUGUUCGUUCGUUCGUUCAUAGCUUCGCUCUCUCUCCCCGUCAACCAGUUCCAUUCAUCGCGCGAGCGAGGUGCAUUCAGCAGUAUCAUUCGAAUAUUUCCACCGAACGGACGUUGAAGCUACAUACCGCUGGUCUCGGAACCGACGGUCGUGUGUUUUGGGACUGUGUGUACCUACGUUAACGGACUGUGUUUCAUGUGAACAAUUUUAUUCUCCUCGAACCCCGAGACGACGGUACGCGCGUACGAAACGGACAGUUUUCUGUUGUUGGGACCCAUUCGGGGUACUUGGCUAUGUGGAAGACCCCAGAAGGGAGCUUUGAAGACGGUCUCCGUAUGUUUUCGGUGCUACCUUUCUUCUAAUGCGUUCACUUCGGUCGAACCCGUCGUGAUCGUCGUCGUCGUCGUCGUCGUCUGUGGCGCAAAACAUAAACAUCAUACUUAGUGCUGCUGUUGCUGCUAUAUUAUGAGACUUUGAACCGGUGGCUGUGACCAAACGAAAGACAGCAGAUCACUACACCCAUUCUCAUCGGCGCUGAUUUGCGUGAACUUUCUUUUCGAUCCUCCAAAAGAAACCAUUCCUAGACAAAUCACGCGCGGCCGAAAUUCUACAACAUCCAGACUUAUCGAAAAAAAAACAGCAAAACCGGGACCGGACAACAACUUGUCAAUUGACUUUGCUGCGUUGGCAACAGUGACGGUGUACAAGUGCUCCAGAGCUGGAGAGUUAACGAACGAUCCACCCGCGCGAACUUGACGACUAAAACCUUACCAUAAUCGUCUUUUCUUUAGUGACUUCAACUUCAACAUUGUUGCAAAGCGUGGUGUACCUAGCUGUUGCGCACGCACAGAAUUCUCGAAAUUUUGCAACGCUUCAAAGACCCCGCCAGGUUGGUGCACGCUCCGCUGCACAUGUCUUUGACCAACGAGGCACGGGGCUGGUCGAUCGGUCGGUCGGUGCCACUGACUGUAUCUAGUGAUUGUGUGAUCUGACCAAGUGAGCAUUGAAGUCACUGGCUGCAUAGUAGUUUGCUCGACGAUCGCAAAGGUACGAAGAAACUUGCGAAACUUUCGUUUUUCGGCGCCAACAAGCGUGUUGCCAAUCUUACACUUUUGGCGCCAAGUGGUUGAAGUGCGAUCGAUGUUCUAAGGAGGUGUGGGUCAGCUAUCGACGAAAAUCAAACAGCAGUGAGUCGCUGUGGAAGACGGUGGCGCGAAAAAGUGAAAAUUGAUUUUCCACCUAUUGAUCGCAUGAGUUUAAUCAGUGUGCUACUGUUGUAUUGUAUGAAAGCGUCCGAAUAACGAAAAGUGUUUCGCGCAUCAGAGCAGUUAAAAUAUUGAAUAUCCAAUCAGUUUUUAAGCUCAGCAUUCGCGAGCGCGCGCACAGUUAAGCCAAGUGAUACAAAUUUAUGGCUAAUUGAUCGUUUUCCUCGGAUAGUGCAGUAGUGCGCUGCUUUUGGCAAAGCGGCAUUUUCCCCGAUUGGCGUGAUGUUUUUUUGAUGUGAGCAGAAAAAGGGAAAUUUUUUUCGUUGAUUUUUGCUUUUUGCGCCCGCUACAGUGAGAAAAAAAAGGCGCAAUUAGACUCGCGAGCACCCCGUCGUCGUGGCCACAUACAACCGAAACUGCUUCGGAAGACCAAGAAACGGAGCCAAACUGAAGAGUAUAGUGCAAUCAGUUAAACAUAAAAAAAAAACCGUAACAGCACGGAGGCAUCGGAAAGUGAAACAGCCAAAUAGCAACAGGAAAAUAUACGAAUUCGAAAAGUUGAGCGAAAAGUUUUACAUACACAUUGUGUGAGACGGCGCUUGUCAGUUUUUUUUUUUUUCGGUGGAUUAGUGGAAGUAAAAAAGAGCUUUGCGUUUUUCGUUUGUUUCAUCAUCAACAACGCAGCUAUUAUCAGGUGCUGCAGAUAGAUAUACAGCGCGCUUCUUUAUCAGUGGCGCUCAGUGGUGAAAAAUUACAGUCGAAGAAAAACUUUCGGAUUUACAUGCACUCGCACACAAACUGAGGCACGCAGAAGCGCGGUUUGGAAAAUUGCGUGCGAAGAAAUACAUCCUUGGUAGCUUGGAAGAACAGCCACAGAGAUCCAGAGACGACUCCACACCGACGAGGACGUGAACUUUUGCGUGAACUCAAUGCAAAUGGUAUGCAAAUACGUGACGUCUCAUAAAAACAAUGAUAUUUCGAGGAUGAUAGGCAAGGUAUUUAACAUUAUAGAACCUGCUGAAGGAAGCCGUGUUAUUUUUGGUAUCUAUUCUUCAUUUUCUUUUUAUCUACUGGCCUUUGUAAUUCAAAAACCCAAAUUUCGAUUUUCAUUGCUGUUGGAAAUUU
Molecule: long non-coding RNA, 2382 nt
Organism: Aedes albopictus (Asian tiger mosquito)
Lineage: Eukaryota; Metazoa; Arthropoda; Insecta; Diptera; Culicidae
Exons: 3
Source: RefSeq, a predicted model, not a curated record